GAUGAACGCUGACAGAAUGCUUAACACAUGCAAGUCGAUGGGGAAGUGGUGCUUGCACUAUGGCAACCAUGGCGGACGGGUGAGUAACUCGUAAGGGACUUACCUUCAGGACUGGGAUAACAGGGGGAAACUCCUGACAAGACCGGAUAAUGUCAUGGAGCUGCAUGGCUUUAUGAUGAAAUGAGACGCCUGCGGAGAGCCUUGCGUCCUAUUAGCUAGUUGGUGAGGUAAUGGCUCACCAAGGCGAAGAUAGGUAGCCGGCCUGAGAGGGUGGACGGCCACAAGGGGACUGAGAUACGGCCCUUACUCCUACGGGAGGCAGCAGUGGGGAAUAUUGGACAAUGGGGGCAACCCUGAUCCAGCAAUUCUGUGUGCACGAAGAAGGUUUUCGGAUUGUAAAGUGCUUUCAGCAGGGAAGAAGUCAGUGACGGUACCUGCAGAAGAAGCGACGGCUAAAUACGUG
RNAcentral lists this ribosomal RNA (463 nucleotides) under uncultured bacterium. RNAcentral describes it as "partial 16S ribosomal RNA". It matches the Rfam family "Bacterial small subunit ribosomal RNA", at positions 28 to 507 of the family's 1533-position model. The record is from RNAcentral.